RNAcentral lists this unclassified non-coding RNA (186 nucleotides) under uncultured Scopulariopsis. RNAcentral describes it as "sequence contains ITS2". The record is from RNAcentral. Lineage: Eukaryota; Fungi; Ascomycota; Sordariomycetes; Microascales.
CUGCCCUCGAGCGCGGUUAGCUUGCUAUCCGCUGCCCGGUGUUGGGGCGCUACGGUUCAGGGCCUCGUGCCCUGUCGUAGGCCCCGAAAUGAAGUGGCGGUCCCGCCGCGGCGCCCCCUGCGUAGUAGUCUUACAACUCGCAUCGGGACCCGGUGGUGACCAGCCGUCAACCCAUCUUUCUAUGGU